UGACUAUGCCAAACACCUGAGCUGUGAAGU
This 30-nucleotide non-coding RNA is filed under the name Rattus norvegicus (Norway rat). Lineage: Eukaryota; Metazoa; Chordata; Mammalia; Rodentia; Muridae. The record is from RNAcentral.